AGUGAACGCUGGCGGUAGGCCUAACACAUGCAAGUCGAACGGCAGCACAGUAAGAGCUUGCUCUUACGGGUGGCGAGUGGCGGACGGGUGAGGAAUACAUCGGAAUCUACUUUUUCGUGGGGGAUAACGUAGGGAAACUUACGCUAAUACCGCAUACGACCUACGGGUGAAAGCAGGGGAUCUUCGGACCUUGCGCGAUUGAAUGAGCCGAUGUCGGAUUAGCUAGUUGGCGGGGUAAAGGCCCACCAAGGCGACGAUCCGUAGCUGGUCUGAGAGGAUGAUCAGCCACACUGGAACUGAGACACGGUCCGGACUCCUACGGGAGGCAGCAGUGGGGAAUAUUGGACAAUGGGCGCAAGCCUGAUCCAGCCAUACCGCGUGGGUGAAGAAGGCCUUCGGGUUGUAAAGCCCUUUUGUUGGGAAAGAAAAGCAGCAGGUUAAUACCCCGCUGUUCUGACGGAACCCAAAGAAUAAGCACCGGCUAACUUCGUG
RNAcentral lists this ribosomal RNA (492 nucleotides) under uncultured bacterium. RNAcentral's name for it is "partial 16S ribosomal RNA". It matches the Rfam family "Bacterial small subunit ribosomal RNA", at positions 29 to 507 of the family's 1533-position model. The record is from RNAcentral.